Long non-coding RNA from Bombina bombina (fire-bellied toad), 290 nucleotides. RefSeq lists it as uncharacterized. NCBI's taxonomy places the organism in Eukaryota, Metazoa, Chordata, Amphibia, Anura, Bombinatoridae. The transcript is spliced from 2 exons. The record is from RefSeq and is a predicted model, not a curated record.
UAUACAAGAAAAGAGAAGCACAGAAGAGGUGCAAGAUGAGGACUCUGCUUCCCCACAAUAUUAUGACUGGAUUCCAGAGGAUGAUAAGAUUUGGUUCAGCAAAAGAGAACUUUUAGAAGUCCUGCUUAAAGCAGAAACAGGACUCUUAAGUAAUUACUCUGCAGUGAGGAAAAUGAGAAUGAGAUACCAAAAACUGUAAAAAAAAUGUUUGUAUAUUAUUAAAACAUUUAUGAAUGUGAGGAUAACAUAUUUUUUAUAUUAAUAAAAAUGAAUAUAUGAUUUGAAUAAAA